UACGUAGGGGGCUAGCGUUGUCCGGAUUUAUUGGGCGUAAAGAGCGUGUAGGCGGCCGAGUAAGUCCGGUGUGAAAACUCGAGGCUUAACCUCGAGAUGUCAUCGGAAACUAUUCGGCUAGAGUCCGGAAGAGGAGAGUGGAAUUCCAGGUGUAGCGGUGAAAUGCGUAGAUAUCUGGAGGAACACCGGUGGCGAAGGCGGCAUCCUGGACCGGUAUUGACGCUGAGGAGCGAAAGCCAGGGGAGCAAACGGG
This 253-nucleotide ribosomal RNA is filed under the name uncultured bacterium. Its description in RNAcentral is "partial 16S ribosomal RNA". It matches the Rfam family "Bacterial small subunit ribosomal RNA", at positions 524 to 776 of the family's 1533-position model. The record is from RNAcentral.